Molecule: ribosomal RNA, 411 nt
Filed under: uncultured bacterium
Lineage: Bacteria
Description: bacterial SSU rRNA
Rfam family: Bacterial small subunit ribosomal RNA
Source: RNAcentral
AAUCAACGCUGGCGGCGUGCCUCAGACAUGCAAGUCGAACGCGAAAGUCCCCUUCGGGGGACAAGUAGAGUGGCGCACGGGUGAGUAACACGUAGGUAAUCCACCUUCGGAUGGGGAAGUAACAACCGGAAACGGUUGCUAAUACCGCAUAAUGCAGCGGCACCUAAUAGGUGACAGUUGUUAAAGACGGGGGAGUCGAAAGACCUCGCGUCUGAAGAGGAGCCUGCGGCGGAUUAGCUAGUUGGUAAGGUAACGGCUUACCAAGGCGACGAUCCGUAGCCGGCCUGAGAGGGCGGUCGGCCACACUGACACUGACAUACGGGUCAGACUCCUACGGGAGGCAGCAGUCGGGAAUUUUGGGUCGAAUGGCGAAGACCUGACCAGCAACGCCGCGUGAAGGAUGAAAUCCCU